ACUGAACCAUUGUACCACACAUGUAUUUCAGAUUUUUAGUGAGAAAGAGUGGUCAAAUUCUUAAACUAUCUCCACUAUCUCAAUUCUCCAGUUCUCUCUCUAGAAAAAUUAAGAACCCUUAGCGUGAACUCUCUGCGACCGAAGAACCCCACCCACCCAGGCAGCCUUCAAUUCAAUUCCAAUGGCGAACAGCAAUCUUCCUCGUAGAAUUAUCAAGGAAACUCAACGGCUUCUCAGCGAACCUGCACCAGGAAUAAGUGCAUCUCCAUCGGAAGAUAAUAUGCGAUACUUUAAUGUCAUGAUUCUUGGUCCUACACAGUCUCCUUAUGAAGGUAAUGAGCCCAAUUUUAAGAUUU
This is a non-coding RNA of Nicotiana tabacum (common tobacco), 356 nucleotides long. Lineage: Eukaryota; Viridiplantae; Streptophyta; Magnoliopsida; Solanales; Solanaceae. The record is from RefSeq and is a predicted model, not a curated record.